RNAcentral lists this ribosomal RNA (301 nucleotides) under uncultured bacterium. Its description in RNAcentral is "partial 16S ribosomal RNA". It matches the Rfam family "Bacterial small subunit ribosomal RNA", at positions 509 to 809 of the family's 1533-position model. The record is from RNAcentral.
CAGUAGCCGCGGGAAUACAGAGGGUGCAAGCGUUAAUCGGAAUUACUGGGCGUAAAGCGCGCGUAGGUGGUUUGUUAAGUUGGAUGUGAAAUCCCCGGGCUCAACCUGGGAACUGCAUCCAAAACUGGCAAGCUAGAGUAUGGUAGAGGGUGGUGGAAUUUCCUGUGUAGCGGUGAAAUGCGUAGAUAUAGGAAGGAACACCAGUGGCGAAGGCGACCACCUGGACUGAUACUGACACUGAGGUGCGAAAGCGUGGGGAGCAAACAGGAUUAGAUACCCCCGUAGUCCCUGUCUUUAUACA